This is a regulatory RNA element of Lutibaculum baratangense AMV1, 158 nucleotides long. It matches the Rfam family "speF leader". From Rfam's summary of the family: This family is a putative regulatory RNA structure that is found upstream of the speF gene encoding ornithine decarboxylase in Agrobacterium tumefaciens and other alpha-proteobacteria. NCBI's taxonomy places the organism in Bacteria, Pseudomonadati, Pseudomonadota, Alphaproteobacteria, Hyphomicrobiales, Tepidamorphaceae. The record is from Rfam.
UGCCGGCUGUUCCAAAAGCCGGGGUCACUGAAGAGGCACACCAUCAUUGCCGGACGUGCGGACGGGCAUGAUCCCGUUCCAAUCCAUGGCAUCACCACGCUCCGCCCGAGGCGAAGGGUGCGCUUAUCCGCACCUCGCGUCUGACGACGGAGCAUCAG